GUUUCUUUCCUUCCCAAAAUAAGCUGUUAGAGGACAAAUGGAGCUGAGCAGUGAGGAGCUGUUGGUUUUGUUUUCCACUGGGUUUCAAGUUCUGCAAACAAAGCUAGAGCUGAAAAGGAAAGGAUACUUUGCUUCACAGAAGAAAUCAGUGCAGCAGUUGAACAUCGGUAUGAACUUCCAAGCUAUUAGAAGGGCUGACCCAGGUCAGAUGAGCAGAACAUGAGGGCAGUGAUGAUCUGCUGGACUGAAUUUGAGGAUUCUGUGGGACAAGAGUAGAAGACACGGGAAGGUUUUUGCAUCAUGUUUUGGUUAAAACUUCCAUUCCCAUCGGAGGAAGGCGCUGGCUGACUCCACUUCCCGCCCCAGGGGGAUGAGCCUGCGGUGAUGGGCGCGAUGCCCAAGGAGCAGGAUCGGGAUCGGGCUCCCAUCCUCGCCCAUCCCCGCAGUGCGGCGGAGCCCGGGCUGCCUCGGGACCCUUGGGUCACAUCCAGGGUGAGAGAAGCCGGGCUAGGGCACCUCGGUGCCCUGCGCCAUCCGCACCCGGGAGCGCAGCCACCCCCUUCUCUUUCUGGAAAUCGCGGAGGGUUUCUGGCCGCUGUUCGAAACAAAACAAGAGAACGGCGCUGCUCCUAGCAGUGUGAAUGUCGCCUGGCGCUGCCAGGCUGUGUGUCCCGGGGGAUGGAUGGAGGGUCCCCGGGCCGUGCCCCAUCCCCUCUGCCCCCAGCCGGGCUCC
This is a long non-coding RNA of Catharus ustulatus (Swainson's thrush), 733 nucleotides long. RefSeq lists it as uncharacterized. NCBI's taxonomy places the organism in Eukaryota, Metazoa, Chordata, Aves, Passeriformes, Turdidae. The transcript is spliced from 3 exons. The record is from RefSeq and is a predicted model, not a curated record.